Molecule: non-coding RNA, 970 nt
Organism: Paramuricea clavata
Lineage: Eukaryota; Metazoa; Cnidaria; Anthozoa; Malacalcyonacea; Plexauridae
Source: the annotation of a GenBank genome assembly
CGCAGAUUCCAUAGGACCAUACCUUUUCGACCAUUCAGUUAACUAAACUAGAGUGGUAUAAUUGGCUCCACUUCUCUUACUCUUUGUUUUUCUUCACAUAUACAGCUAGACGAAGACACGUUCCCCAGCCAUCGGUGAAAAUCCUGGAAUUUGGAAAAAAAAAUGACUAAAGUGUCGUAACUAGUGAUAAGAUUUUUCCCCAUUCCAAAAAGUAUGUGGUGUGCCAAUUAUGAUAUGAACUGAGGGGAAUACUCCGUUGUAUUUAAAGGAAACAAGUUGAUCAGAAUCAUUGAAUCGAGAUCGUUAUAAAUAAGAAUGUGAAAGAUAUGAAAGAUAUUCUCAUUAAAUUUAACGAUGGUGCGACGUAUGAAACAGGCCUAAUCGUGACCAAGUCAUCAGUCGACGAAGUGGAAGAGGUUAUUUCGCUGGCCUCAGAGUGACAAAACGUAACAAAGCAACGGUUUUACUGGCACUAACCGUAUUCCAAACACCAACUCUAACCUUAAUCCUAACCGUAACCUAACCCUACUCGAUAGAUAUAGUAUGAAUCCUAACAGCUUCAUUUGUUAGUCAGUCAGCUCAAAGAUAAAUCAUCCAGAAAUGUAAUCAUAUUCAUAUCUAGCAUUGUAAACAUGAUAUUGAUAAAACGUAAAAUUUUGCAUUGUAAUAGGAACACCUAAUCCCACAUAAAAUUAUCAAGGACAUAACGUGGGAUAAUGGGAUGGUGACGUGUGGUAGAUUAUGAUUAGAUUAAUUAUGGACCACAAAAUCUCGCACAAAAUAGGAACAACAAUGCAACAUAUCAGUAUACGUGAACCAUUUACGCACGCAGGGGAAAUUUGUGGUUGAGAAGAUAUGUGUUUUUGUUCUGUUAGUAUAAAUAUAGGCUAAAAAGUGGUUAUGGUAACAUCGAGUUGUGUUGAAUAUAAUUAUGUUAUGUGUGUGUUAGUUGUUGAAUUGUGAAUUGAGA